RNAcentral lists this unclassified non-coding RNA (335 nucleotides) under soil metagenome. Its description in RNAcentral is "partial contains 5.8S ribosomal RNA, internal transcribed spacer 2, and large subunit ribosomal RNA". The stretch from base 4 to 119 matches the Rfam family "5.8S ribosomal RNA", at positions 39 to 154 of the family's 154-position model. The record is from RNAcentral.
GAUAAGAACGCAGCGAAAUGCGAUAAGUAAUGUGAAUUGCAGAAUUCAGUGAAUCAUCGAAUCUUUGAACGCACAUUGCGCCCGCCAGUAUUCUGGCGGGCAUGCCUGUUCGAGCGUCAUUUCAACCAUCAAGCCCCCGGCUUGUGUUGGGGACCUGCGGCUGCCGCAGGCCCUGAAAAGCAGUGGCGGGCUCGCUGUCACACCGAGCGUAGUAGCAUACAUCUCGCUCUGGGCGUGCUGCGGGUUCCGGCCGUUAAACCACCUUCAUAACCCAAGGUUGACCUCGGAUCAGGUAGGAAGACCCGCUGAACUUAAGCAUAUCAAUAAGCGGAGGA